CACGUAGUUAGCCGUGGCUUUCUGGUUAGAUACCGUCAAGGGAUAAACAGUUACUCUUAUCCUUGUUCUUCUCUAACAACAGAGUUUUACGAUCCGAAAACCUUCUUCACUCACGCGGCGUUGCUCGGUCAGACUUUCGUCAUUGCCGAAGAUUCCCUACUGCUGCCUCCCGUAGGAGUCUGGGCCGUGUCUCAGUCCCAGUGUGGCCGAUCACCCUCUCAGGUCGGCUAUGCAUCAUGGCCUUGGUAGGCCGUUACCCUACCAACUAGCUAAUGCAGCGCGGGCCCAUCUAUCAGUGACACCCGAAAGCGUCUUUCAUGUCCAGGCCAUGUGGUCUAGAUAAUUAUGCGGUAUUAGCACCUGUUUCCAAGUGUUAUCCCCCUCUGAUAGGCAGGUUGCCCACGUGUUACUCACCCGUCCGCCACUCCUCUUCUUCCGGUGAGUGCAAGCACUCGGUGGAAGUAGAAGCGUUCGACUUGCAUGUAUUAGGCACGCCGC
This 498-nucleotide ribosomal RNA is filed under the name uncultured Vagococcus sp. Its description in RNAcentral is "partial 16S ribosomal RNA". Lineage: Bacteria; Bacillati; Bacillota; Bacilli; Lactobacillales; Enterococcaceae. The record is from RNAcentral.